RNAcentral lists this ribosomal RNA (492 nucleotides) under uncultured bacterium. RNAcentral's name for it is "partial 16S ribosomal RNA". It matches the Rfam family "Bacterial small subunit ribosomal RNA", at positions 28 to 507 of the family's 1533-position model. The record is from RNAcentral.
GAUGAACGCUAGCUACAGGCUUAACACAUGCAAGUCGAGGGGAAACGACAUCGAAUUCUUGCUUUUGCUGGGCGUCGACCGGUGCACGGGUGAGUAACGCGUAUCCAAUCUGUCCACCACUUGUGGAUAACAUUGCGAAAGUAAGACUAAUACCCAAUGUUAUCCCCCGAAGACAUCUGAAUGGUACUGAAGAUUUAUCUGUAAUGGAUGGGUAUGCGUCUGAUUAGCUUGUUGGCGGGUUAACGGCCUACCAAGGCAACGAUCAGUAGGGGUUCUGAGAGUAAGGUCCCUCAGAUGGGAACUGAGACCAGGGCGAAACUGCUACGGGAGGGAGCAGUGAGGAAUACUGGAGAAGGGAAGAGAGCAUGAACGAGCCAAGUAGGGUGCAGGAAGACGGCGCUAGGGGUUGUAAACUGCUUUUAUAAGGGAAUAAAGUGGGUCAAGUGUGACUUUUUGAAGGUAACUGAUGAAUAAGGACCGGCUAAUUACGUG